CAGCCGCCGCGGUAAUACGAAGGGGGCUAGCGUUGCUCGGAAUGACUGGGCGUAAAGGGUGCGUAGGCGGUUUGGCAAGUCUUGUGUGAAAUCUUCGGGCUCAACCCGAAGCCUGCACGAGAAACUACCGGGCUUGAGUAUUGGAGAGGUGAGUGGAAUUUCCGGUGUAGCGGUGAAAUGCGUAGAUAUCGGAAGGAACACCUGUGGCGAAAGCGGCUCACUGGACAAUAACUGAUGCUGAUGCACGAAGGCUAGGGGAGCAAACAGGAUUAGAGACCCCAGUAGUCCCUGUCUCUUAUAU
This 301-nucleotide ribosomal RNA is filed under the name uncultured bacterium. RNAcentral's name for it is "partial 16S ribosomal RNA". It matches the Rfam family "Bacterial small subunit ribosomal RNA", at positions 509 to 809 of the family's 1533-position model. The record is from RNAcentral.